UACGAAGGGGGCUAGCGUUGUUCGGAAUUACUGGGCGUAAAGCGCGCGCAGGCGGUUCUUCAAGUCAGAGGUGAAAGCCCAGAGCUCAACUCUGGAAUGGCCUUUGAGACUAGAGAACUUGGGUACGGGAGAGGUGAGUGGAAUUCCGAGUGUAGAGGUGAAAUUCGUAGAUAUUCGGAAGAACACCAGUGGCGAAGGCGGCUCACUGGCCCGUUACCGACGCUCAGGCGCGACAGCGUGGGGAGCAAACAGGG
This 254-nucleotide ribosomal RNA is filed under the name uncultured bacterium. Its description in RNAcentral is "partial 16S ribosomal RNA". It matches the Rfam family "Bacterial small subunit ribosomal RNA", at positions 524 to 777 of the family's 1533-position model. The record is from RNAcentral.